CCCUUAGAUGUCCGGGGCUGCACGCGCGCUACACUGACUGGCUCAGCGUGUGCCUACCCUACGCCGGCAGGCGCGGGUAACCCGUUGAACCCCAUUCGUGAUGGGGAUCGGGGAUUGCAAUUAUUCCCCAUGAACGAGGAAUUCCCAGUAAGUGCGGGUCAUAAGCUUGCGUCGAUUAAGUCCCUGCCCUUUGUACACACCGCCCGUCGCUACUACCGAUUGGAUGGUCCGGUGAAGCCUCGGGAUUGUGGUUCUUGCCGCUUUAUUGUGGCGUGACCGCGAGAACUUGUCUAAACCUUAUCAUCUAGAGGAAGGUGAAGUCGUAACA
This 328-nucleotide ribosomal RNA is filed under the name uncultured eukaryote. RNAcentral's name for it is "partial 18S ribosomal RNA". It matches the Rfam family "Eukaryotic small subunit ribosomal RNA", at positions 1470 to 1796 of the family's 1831-position model. The record is from RNAcentral.